ACGGAAGGCAGCAGUGAGGAAUAUUGGUCAAUGGGCGGAAGCCUGAACCAGCCAAGUCGCGUGAGGGAAGACGGCCCUACGGGUUGUAAACCUCUUUUGCGCGGGGGUAAAGUCGGGGACGUGUCCCCGAUUGCAAGUACCGUGCGAAUAAGGAUCGGCUAACUCCGUGCCAGCAGCCGCGGUAAUACGGAGGAUCCGAGUGUUAUCCGGAUUUAUUGGGUUUAAAGGGUGCGUAGGCGGGACGUCAAGUCAGUGGUGAAAUGGUGCGGCUCAACCGUAGCAUCGCCGUUGAAACUGGGGUCCUUGAGUGCGAAUGAGGUACGCGGAACGUGUCAUGUAGCGGUGAAAUGCAUAGAUAUGACACAGAACACCGAUUGCGAAGGCAGCGUACUGGGACGCGACUGACGCUGAGGCACGAAAGCAUGGGUAGCAAACAGGAUUAGAUACCCUGGUA
This 454-nucleotide ribosomal RNA is filed under the name uncultured Porphyromonadaceae bacterium. RNAcentral describes it as "bacterial SSU rRNA". It matches the Rfam family "Bacterial small subunit ribosomal RNA", at positions 341 to 792 of the family's 1533-position model. Lineage: Bacteria; Pseudomonadati; Bacteroidota; Bacteroidia; Bacteroidales; Porphyromonadaceae. The record is from RNAcentral.